AAAGCUGAGCUGAAUAGUUCACCAAAGGAAAGGUCCAGCCAUUGCACUGCAGCUGUGCUGAUCCCUGCGAAUUCCCCAAAUGUGAGAAUCUCGACUGCAUGAUUUCUGGUAGUGGGGGACUGCGUUCGCGCUCUCCCCUG
RNAcentral lists this small nuclear RNA (140 nucleotides) under Paramormyrops kingsleyae. RNAcentral's name for it is "U1 spliceosomal RNA (ENSPKIG00000007766.1)". It matches the Rfam family "U1 spliceosomal RNA", at positions 22 to 166 of the family's 166-position model. From Rfam's summary of the family: U1 is a small nuclear RNA (snRNA) component of the spliceosome (involved in pre-mRNA splicing). Lineage: Eukaryota; Metazoa; Chordata; Actinopteri; Osteoglossiformes; Mormyridae. The record is from RNAcentral.